CGGGACGGGUGAGUAAUGCUUGGGAAUCUAGCUUAUGGAGGGGGAUAACUACGGGAAACUGUAGCUAAUACCGCGUAAUAUCGAAGGAUUAAAGUGUGGGACCUUCGGGCCACAUGCCAUAGGAUGAGCCCAAGUGGGAUUAGGUAGUUGGUGAGGUAAAGGCUCGCCAAGCCGACGAUCUCUAGCUGGUCUGAGAGGAUGACCAGCCACACUGGGACUGAGACACGGCCCAG
Molecule: ribosomal RNA, 233 nt
Filed under: uncultured bacterium
Lineage: Bacteria
Description: partial 16S ribosomal RNA
Rfam family: Bacterial small subunit ribosomal RNA
Source: RNAcentral